Molecule: long non-coding RNA, 2309 nt
Organism: Talpa occidentalis (Iberian mole)
Lineage: Eukaryota; Metazoa; Chordata; Mammalia; Eulipotyphla; Talpidae
Exons: 6
Source: RefSeq, a predicted model, not a curated record
CAUUCCACAGGGCAAGUCUGAUGUCACAGGGACAUCCCAGCACUGGCCUUGGUUCCACUUUGUUGCAGUGACCACACCCAUCUGCCUUUGGUGAGGAAGAGCCCUCUCGUGCGUGCGUGGUGCCCAACACCUGGGGUACCCCUACCCCUGUUUGUUCACGGGCCUGCUCCACGCGGCUGUUCCCUGUACCAUGUGAGUUACGAAAGAUAGUGCUUCCAGAAAGGCUCUUCUGGCAUGAUGUUGGAGCUGGCUAAGUCAACUGUCUUUCCAAGGCUGCGUCUUCACAUCUAGUGAUGGAGUUUGAACUUCCCUGAAGAGACAGAGCAGGCAAUUCAGAAGGGAAGGUGAACACGGCUGAGGAGAGCAAGAAUAAUUUGGAGCCACCGAGAUGGAAUGAAAGCGCGUCAGUCAGCUCCUGCUGGACUGACCUUGUGGUGCGGGCGUCAUGCAGUAGCCAGGACAUUCAACGAGAAGCUGGUUGAAGAACCACAGAAGGGGGACCACCGGGCGGCGGCCAGUAAUGACCUUGUGCCAACGAGGAGGCCGCAGAACACCUGCACCAUGGGCAUCCCUGGCGUCCAAGGCGGCCUUUUACCCACAGUGUCACUCAAAAAAUUCUCUUCUGCCCAUUCUAACAGGAAACAGAAAAGGGAUUUCUGGAAACUUUUUCAGUCUAGUCAAGUGGACACAUGACAAAGCCACAUCCUGGUUAUAUGACUUUUAAUUUUUUAACAGUUUUAUUGAGGAAUAAUUGAUACACAAAAAUGGCACAUGGCAGUGAUGUGACAAUUUGAUGAGUUGUGCCUAUUGACACCCAUGAAACUAUUUCCACAGUCAAAGUAUAAACAUACCCUUUUCUCCCAAGUUUCGUCCUGUCCUUUUAUUUUGUUUUUGUUUUACUGUGGUAAGACUAUCGAACACGAGAUAGCUGAUGGACAGAAGCAACCAGAAGGCCAUAAACUCAUCAAAGGAUUGUUAGCCAAGACAAUAAAAAUUACUAGAAAGCUCUUAGCAAAGCCAAGUGCUAUAGGAAUGCUAAGUAAUGGGGCCAAGCUUUCGAGUUCACUUUCUGCAGAUUGUUGCAUAACGUGUUAUUAGCCUGGUUAUGAAGAAAUAGAAAAUUCUCAGUCUUCUGGAGAGGAACAGAAAACUGAAGAUCAUUUCUUAAUAAUUAAAAUCUCCUUACGGCUAUAGGAUCAACUCUUGCAUAUGAUUAAUUAAAAAUCAGAGCUGCAGCUUACGGUAUUUUCAAGAGGAAAGAAACUCUCUGGUGUGCUGAAAAUGUCCUCCCAUUGUUUAGACUUUUCUUCCAAAAAAAAAAAAAAAAUGGAAUCAGCAAAUAACACCACAAUCUGAAAAAAAAAAUAUCUACUGGUUGAGCAAACAAAUGUUCUCAUUACAUCCUGUCACUCAUCCCUAACCACACAUGACUGGGUGGUUAUUUAGAGAAAGAUUAUAUCUGAGGAACAAGUGCCGACUGACUCUCCUAUAAAAUGCAGCAGAACUUUGAAAGAGCAGGUUCCCAGGGACAAGUCAACCCUGUAGCUCCCCAGGAACGUUCAUUAUCUCUAAGCCAUGCCGAGCAAUAUUUCUCAAAUAAAAUGGUAGCCCGCAGAGGUCCUCCUGAGUAUGUGGGCAGAAUGAGUAGGAUGACAGCAAACCAAGUGCAGAGACCUACAGGUGACAAGCUCCACUGAAGAUGAUAAAUUCAUUAUGAAUGAACAAAGCCAAUGUAGUCACCCUUCACCAUUCCUCCCCCGCUCUCCAGCCAGCUCCGGGCGUCCUGCUGAGAACCAGAAGGAAACAAGGAAUAGUUAAGAAGGACUUAACCGAUGUGGAAUCUAAAAAAGGGGAAAUUGUGAAAUUGGAAAGUAGAAAGGUGGUUACCAGAGGUGGGAGGGAAGUUGGGGAGAUGUUGCUUAAGGGCAAAGACUUGGAGUCAGUCAAUGAAUAUGUCCUGGAGAUCUAAUGCACAGUACAGCAAUUACAGACAACAACGUGUUAGGAACGACUAAGCUGCUAAGAGACUAGCUCUUCAUUCUUCCUGUCACAAAAUGGAAAUAAUGACGUGAGGUGCUAGAGUGUCAGCCAUGGACAUCUACAGGCGCAUCAGGUCACAAGGUGAUCACCAUAUGUUCAUACUGUUCUGUGCCCAUUAUGUUGCAAUAAAAAUAAUUUUUUAAAAAGAGAGAAACACAACUCCUUCUCUCUUUUCACAAGAUUCCAUUUUUACCUGCCUUGUAGGGAUUAAAAGACCAGACAAGACAAAAGUUGGGUCAUUAGCAGAGGAGGGAGGUCACAGAGAAGGG